This 492-nucleotide ribosomal RNA is filed under the name uncultured bacterium. RNAcentral's name for it is "partial 16S ribosomal RNA". It matches the Rfam family "Bacterial small subunit ribosomal RNA", at positions 29 to 507 of the family's 1533-position model. The record is from RNAcentral.
AGUGAACGCUGGCGGUAGGCCUAACACAUGCAAGUCGAACGGCAGCACAGUAAGAGCUUGCUCUUACGGGUGGCGAGUGGCGGACGGGUGAGGAAUACAUCGGAAUCUACUUUUUCGUGGGGGAUAACGUAGGGAAACUUACGCUAAUACCGCAUACGACCUACGGGUGAAAGCAGGGGAUCUUCGGACCUUGCGCGAUUGAAUGAGCCGAUGUCGGAUUAGCUAGUUGGCGGGGUAAAGGCCCACCAAGGCGACGAUCCGUAGCUGGUCUGAGAGGAUGAUCAGCCACACUGGAACUGAAACACGGUCCAGACUCCUACGGGAGGCAGCAGUGGGGAAUAUUGGACAAUGGGCGCAAGCCUGAUCCAGCCAUACCGCGUGGGUGAAGGAGGCCUUCGGGUUGUAAAGCCCUUUUGUUGGGAAAGAAAAGCAGCAGGUUAAUACCCCGCUGUUCUGACGGUACCCAAAGAAUAAGCACCGGCUAACUUCGUG